UUGGACCCUGCCGUGUCACAAUGGCUGGUCUGAAAUGCAUGAGUGCACCCUGCCAUAGCAGCGUCUUCAGUGUGAUAAGUAUCUUCACUGAUCCAAGCUUCCUCUGUGGAACACGCUUGUCUGGUGGGCUCUGGGCUUCCAACCGUCCCCAUGGACAACUCUUGACAAUUUGACCUCAAAUCGGGUGGGAUUACCCGCUGAACUUAAGCAUAUCAAUAAGCGGAGGAAAAGAAACUAACAAGGAUUCCCCUAGUAACGGCGAGUGAAGAGGGAAAAGCUCAAAUUUUGAAUCUGGUACCUUUGGUGCCCGAGUUGUAAUCUAGAGAAGUGUUUUCUGCCUUGGACCACGCAUAAAUUCCCUGGAAUGGGGUGUCAUAGAGGGUGAGAAUCCCGUUUGUGGUGUGGACUACCUUGGCUUUGUGAUACACUCUCAACGAGUCGAGUUGUUUGGGAAUGCAGCUCAAAAUGGGUGGUAAAUUCCAUCUAAAGCUAAAUAUUGGCGAGAGACCGAUAGCGAACAAGUACCGUGAGGGAAAGAUGAAAAGCACUUUGGAAAGAGAGUGAAACAGUACGUGAAAUUGUUGAAAGGGAAGCGCUUGAGGUCAGUCACAUCUGUCAGGACUCAGCCAGGCUUCUGCCUGGUGUACUUCCUGGCCGGUGGGUCAGCGUCAGUUUUGACCGAGGGAAAAAGGCUUGGGGAAUGUGGCUGUCUUCGGGCAGUGUUAUAGCCCCUUGUUGUAUGUCUCGGUUGGGACUGAGGAUCGCAGCACGCCUUAUGGCCGGGGUUCGCGCCCUCGGUACGUGCUU
Molecule: ribosomal RNA, 807 nt
Filed under: uncultured Sebacinales
Lineage: Eukaryota; Fungi; Basidiomycota; Agaricomycetes; Sebacinales
Description: eukaryotic LSU rRNA
Rfam family: Eukaryotic large subunit ribosomal RNA (bases 171-807)
Source: RNAcentral